UGAAAGACCAGUAUACAUAUAUUCAUAGUAGAAAGUAUCGUACCCUCUAGGUGACAGGGGCACAGAGUGAUCCAAAUACAAGUAAAGGAAGCACUAAUUCUGACUGGUGCUACUGGGAGAGACUGUGGAAGCUAUAUAAGUCAGCUUCAGAUUGCUAUAACAAAAUGCCUAAGAUAAUUAAUUUAUUUAAAAAAAAGAUUUAUUUUGACUCACUGUAUUAGAGGUUCCAGUCUGAGAUUGGGAAAAUCCACUGCUUUGGGCCUCUGAUGGCAAUGGUGGGGAGCACAUGGCCAAGCAAACUACUCACCUCAGGUAGGAAGAACUGAAAAAGAGGAGAUGAAGGUCCCAAAAUCCCCUUCCAGGGGUACCCUCAAUGACCAAAGGACCUCCCACCAGAUUCCAUCUCCUAAACAUUCCGCUACUUCCCAAUAAUACCACCCUGGGGACCAUGCUUUUAACACAUGGGACUUUGGGGAACAAUUAUUGAAAGCACAGCAGAAGUGGAAACAUGAAGAAGACCUUGAAGGAGGGUGAUUAGAAGAAGAUCUUCUCAAGUAGAGAGACCAUGAGACAAAGCACGGAGAUCAGACACCGUGAGAUUCAAUGAAAGCCUGUAAAGUACUCUUCAGUUAUAAAAUACUUGAUGCCACUACUGCCUUUCCCAGUAGCCAUGACCUCUCUAGGCAACAAGAUAACAGCAAUUCAGAGACGCGGCCAGCUGCCAGCUUACCUGCUUGCAGAAUUUGAAGUAGACCUGACUGGCUUUACCGCCUGCCCCAGUCCCAAAGGAGGUGAUGGUACGUGUCAAGUCCAACUGGGGAAAAUUAACCCUGGCCAAAGGUUAACAGUUUCCUUCUCUUUCCAUCUGUGAACGUCUUCCCAAUGCCCUCUCAGCUCUGCCGUUACACAUCAACUUCUCUCUCUCUGGCCAUUCCGGGAUCAAGUGCUGGUGAAGUUGCCUUCUAGCCAGUGACAGAAAGCAGCUUACCUUCAUCUAUGGAAGACUCACAUUUUACAUAUGGGCCGGGUUUAGAUGUUGAAUGUCCUUUAAAGUCUCAUGUACUGGAGGCUUGGUCCCCAAUAUGGUAAUGUUGAGAGGUGGCGGGUCUUUAAGAGAGGAGACCCAGUGGAAGGUCAUUAGGUCAUGGGAGCACAGCCCUAGAGAAUGGCUUCAUGCAGAUAAAAAAACUGUUAUUUUGUUUCGUUGCUGUAACAAAAUAAACAACAUAAAAUGGACUAAGACACACAUGUAAAUCGAGACUAAAAAUUAUAGUAUCCGCUUCAUAGGAGAGGAACAGCGCUCACUUCAUGAAGAUGAAGUAGAAUAAUAUACCUGGCAUAUAGCACU
This 1348-nucleotide long non-coding RNA is filed under the name Marmota monax (woodchuck). Lineage: Eukaryota; Metazoa; Chordata; Mammalia; Rodentia; Sciuridae. The record is from RNAcentral.